UGGCGUACACUUUUUAUAUUCGCGAUAAUCACAUAUCUAAACGAUUUGAACUUCAAUGUAGUAUUUUGAAAUUUCACUUACUUAUUGAUUAAUCUAGUGUUUAUGAUUGCCUAUGUAGAAGAAUAAUUGAGCAUAUUUUUUGUUAGCUGCUGUAAAUUUGGUUCAUCCGCAGUCUUUCACUCUUGCAUGACAUAAAAAUGAAAUGUAUCCGCAUCCAGAUAUGUGUAUUUUUCAUGAUGAUAAUUCUGAUCGAUGUUCGAGCUUGGAUCCAUGUAUUACAAGCAUUUCCUUUUCCAGCAUUUCCUUUUCGAGCACUACCACUGCGACUUCCAAAGCUGCGAUUUGUGCUUCCACCAAUACCACCACCUCCACUACUCCCGCGCUGGCACUUGUGGAAACCUAAAGCACCAGCACCACCAGCUCCGCGCCCUAUAACAACAGAACUACCAACUUCGAUUCCGACGCCUUAUGCAAUACCUUUAAAACCAUCGCCAAAGCAGAAAAGGCCGACAGAAUGGUGGAAGUUCGAUUAGAAAAGAAAGCCACCAUAACAAUAUUGUAGCCUAUCUAGUAUCAGAAUAGGCUGAAAAUAUUAUAAUGCUUUAGACUCAUCUUCAAAUAUGGCGUAGGUACUGAUUUGGUUCCCGCAGACAAAGUAAUGAAAUCAAGAAAAUUAACAUUUUUUUCUGUAAUUUAAUAUUAUUAAAAAUUCUCUUUUGAACUAGCUUUUCUGGGAUUUUUCGCGGUAACCACCUAAAAUAGUCGUGCUCAAAAAGCACAGAUCAAAGUUAUGAGUGCUAAAGUUCACUUUUGGCCUUUCCGAAGUAAAUUGCUGGCUGAAGGCUCCAGAAUGACCCAAAAGGCCGAAAAUGCAGGUAAAUUUUGAUGUGAGGAGUUGAAGAAAUUAUUCGCGUUGAUUCGCUGUGCUCGAAAAAGUUUCUAUUUCGUGGAAAAGUUUAAAAAUCGCUCUUAAAACAGCUUUUUAUAAUUUUUUAAAUCUUCAAAAACUCGCAAAAAAAUCCAAAAAUGUACUCGAGCACUUGAAAUUUUGGUUACGGGGAUUCUAGGAAAUGCUCUUUCUAUAAUCUAGUUUGGUUUCGUUCAAAUUGAAGAGAGAGUUCAAAAGGUUCCUUUAUAAGCAUGUUUUUAUCUUGUGUUCUUCGAUGGGCAUUUGUGAUUAUUUUUUUAAUCAAUGUACAGCAAUUUUAUACUUUCAGUGUCAAAUUGAUAUCUCAUUAUUAAGUGGAUCAAAAAAGAAAGUGUUUGGAUGAGGGCGACAUCAUAAAUUUUCCUGCAAUAUGGCUCGUCAGAAGUCAGAAAUACUUUGCCUAUUUAAGAGAAGGAGUAUUUGGUGAGCCCAUUUGGAAAUCAUCGUCAACAAGGUCAAUAGCUCAAAAUAUCAAUUUCGAUCCACUUCCAAAUGGGCUCACCAAUCGCCCUCAAAUGGUUGAUGGGUAGGAGAUAAGAAUGGAGGGGGGCGGUUGGCGAAUUCAAAUUUUUUCCCAGCUUUAUUCAACUUUAUUUUCAUAUUUUGCAUUCCUUUUUCAAUUUUUGUAUUUUUAAUAUAUAUUUUUUUUUCAU
Planococcus citri (citrus mealybug) is the source of this 1581-nucleotide long non-coding RNA. RefSeq lists it as uncharacterized. NCBI's taxonomy places the organism in Eukaryota, Metazoa, Arthropoda, Insecta, Hemiptera, Pseudococcidae. The transcript has 2 exons. The record is from RefSeq and is a predicted model, not a curated record.